RNAcentral lists this long non-coding RNA (951 nucleotides) under Mytilus galloprovincialis (Mediterranean mussel). Lineage: Eukaryota; Metazoa; Mollusca; Bivalvia; Mytilida; Mytilidae. The record is from RNAcentral.
UGAUUGCAUAAAACAUUUUAUUAGAAAGAAAAUCACAAUGCACAAAAUAAACAAUGAUAGAUAAGAAAUAACAAAAGAUUAUAUCACAGAACAAAAUAUUCUAAGAAAACAGAAUUUUUGGUCUAGUUAUUGCACAAAGCAUCAAAUGCUUAAAACCCCUUCCUUUAUUUUGGUCGUUUCAUGUAUUGUAUACUUCUUCAUUUUCAGAAAUCAUAUAUGAUAAUGAAGUUAAAAUAUUCCACAUGAAGGGCUUUCUGUUUGUAUUGAUUCAAAAAUUUCCUCAAUGUCAUGUUCAAAGGAUUUACAUUUUGUAUUGCAUUAAGUACUAUCGUGUGAUAGUUUCCAUUACUGUAAUUUUAUUUCAUCCAAUGCAGUUUUGAAUAGAUAUUUAAAUUCUAUGCAUCAGAAUCUUCUGUGAUCCUAAAUAAUUGAAGACAACAAUUGCAUUACAUAUGGAAGUAAUCAAAUAUUAAAUAAUUUAUAAGUUUCAAAUUAAUUGAAGCAAUAUUGAAAUUAUUGGCUUUUACAAUCUGUGCACAAUUUAAAGUCUUUGACAUUUAAAUAUACUAAAAUAUUAUAAAUACUAAAGAAUUCUUGUAGCUAUUUUUUUGUGUUUAAAGAAUAAUUACAUUGUGAAGUUUGACACAAUAACAUUAAAUUUUGAUUAAAUCUUAAUGUAAACAGAAAUAUUGGCACUAUCAAAGUGUCCUGACUAGAUCAAUUAAUUAGUAAAUACAUAAACACACAUAUCUACAAAUACAGAUAUAUAUCUUAUGCUCUAUCAACCAUAGCACACAUAGGUAUGAUGAAAUGAGAGUUACUAAUCAUUAAAUACAGACUCUUAAGAGCCUUUUGUCCAAAAACAAAGUAGAGCUUACAGUAGCAAAUAUCAAACAUUUUAUCAAAAAUCUAAUUUACUUAAAUCAAGACACUUUUUUCAUUAAAAUUUUU